GGGGAUUUAGCUCAGCGGCAUAAGCGCCUGCCUUGCAAGCAGGCAGUCGUGAGUUUGAUCCCCG
This is a non-coding RNA of Cavia porcellus (domestic guinea pig), 64 nucleotides long. The record is from Rfam. Lineage: Eukaryota; Metazoa; Chordata; Mammalia; Rodentia; Caviidae.